AAAGAUGAAAGAAGGGAAAAGAGGAAAAAAGAAGAGAGGAGAAAACAAACAAGAGAUAACACACUAACUCCAUUGCAUGUCCUUCUCAAGCUCCCUCAUUCCAUCAUCUCAUCAUAGAAACACCCGCAUAUCUAUAUUAGAGUAAAAGAGGACCAAGAGGUAGAGUGAAUUGAGAAAGAAGAAAAGGAAAGUUAAGAUUUUAAUAUAGGAGAAGAAGUUUAGAAUUUCUUGCAUGUUGAGAAGGAAGAUGGAAACAUGAAGAGGAGUUAAAAUUUCACUUGUAGAAGAAGGAAUUAAUAUCAAACUUUGGAGGUCUCAAAUCUCUUCUUAAGAUAACAUAGAAAACCCUCUUAAAACCUCUCUUAGGUGUGCUUAGAGAUCAUGUUUUGCAUGUUUGGGUUUUGAGAUAAUCUUAUUUAAUUUUGUAUCAUUGAUUAUUAACAAUGCAUGUUAGGUGUUUGUAUUAAUUACUAUGAAGAGUUGUUGUUUUAUUAUUGUUGUUGAGUGUUGUGGUUGGGUUUGUGAUGAGAUGAUGACUGUUUAGUAUUGGUAAUUACUUGAUUUUAUGCUGAAUUUUGAAUGUAUUUUACUUAGUUGAUCAUAUUAACUUGAAAAUAUAAAGUUUG
RNAcentral lists this long non-coding RNA (626 nucleotides) under Cicer arietinum (chickpea). Its description in RNAcentral is "long non-coding RNA (CARI_LNC001853)". The record is from RNAcentral. Lineage: Eukaryota; Viridiplantae; Streptophyta; Magnoliopsida; Fabales; Fabaceae.